AUACUCUGGUUUUUCUUCAGAUUAUAUCAAAUUUUCACCUUUUCCUAAAGAUUUAUGUGGAGAGGAACAAUUGUGAGUCUUAACCCAAUUUUUUGAGGCCUUGAAUCUUCAAGGCG
Molecule: small nuclear RNA, 116 nt
Organism: Chlorocebus sabaeus (green monkey)
Lineage: Eukaryota; Metazoa; Chordata; Mammalia; Primates; Cercopithecidae
Gene: U5
Rfam family: U5 spliceosomal RNA
About the family: U5 RNA is a component of both types of known spliceosome. The precise function of this molecule is unknown, though it is known that the 5' loop is required for splice site selection and p220 binding, and that both the 3' stem-loop and the Sm site are important for Sm protein binding and cap methylation.
Source: Ensembl